This is a non-coding RNA of Gossypium raimondii (Peruvian cotton), 134 nucleotides long. Lineage: Eukaryota; Viridiplantae; Streptophyta; Magnoliopsida; Malvales; Malvaceae. The record is from Rfam.
UGUUAAAUUUUUUAUUCAUUUCUACUGUUAAAAACUGGUAUGGAUAACUAUAUAAACACAUAGUUACACAUGGUACCUCAUUUUGAGGUACAUGGACCAAUUUUUAACGGUAGAUACGAAUGAAAUUUUUAAUA